GUCUACAGCCAUAACACCCUGAACGCGCCCAAUCUCAUCUGACCUCGGAAGCGAAGCAGGGUCGGGCCUAGUUAGUACUUGAACAGGAGAAGGAACUGACUCCAAAGGGAGGCUGGGAAUCUCUGCAGGGG
Molecule: ribosomal RNA, 131 nt
Filed under: Octodon degus (degu)
Lineage: Eukaryota; Metazoa; Chordata; Mammalia; Rodentia; Octodontidae
Source: RNAcentral